Triticum aestivum (bread wheat) is the source of this 124-nucleotide non-coding RNA. The record is from Rfam. NCBI's taxonomy places the organism in Eukaryota, Viridiplantae, Streptophyta, Magnoliopsida, Poales, Poaceae.
UAAAUACUCCCUCCGUCCGGGAAUACUUGUCGGAGGAAUACAUAAAAUGGAUGUAUCUAGAUCUAAGAUAUGUCUAGAUACAUUCAUUUCUCUGACAAGUAUUUUCGGACGGAGGGAGUAAUAU